RNAcentral lists this ribosomal RNA (468 nucleotides) under uncultured bacterium. RNAcentral describes it as "partial 16S ribosomal RNA". It matches the Rfam family "Bacterial small subunit ribosomal RNA", at positions 28 to 507 of the family's 1533-position model. The record is from RNAcentral.
GACGAACGCUGGCGGCGUGCUUAACACAUGCAAGUCGAACGGAAAGGCCCUGCUUGCGGGGUGUGCUCGAGGGGCGAACGGGUGUGUCACACGUGAGUAAUCUGCCCUAGACUUUGGUAUGACUGCAGGAAACUGGCUCUUAUACCGGAGAGGAGUUCCGGCGGCAGGGUGGGGGUUGGAAUGUUUCGGCGGGUGGGGAUGGACCCGCCGCUUAUCAGGUUGUUGGUGGGGUAGUGUCUUACGAAGGCGUUGACGGGUCGCCGGCCUGGGAGGGUGCACGGCCAGAUUGGGACUGGGAUCCGGCCCAUACUCCUACGGGAGGCAGCAGUGAGGAAUAUUGCGCAAUGGGCGGAAGCCUGCUGCAGCACCGCCGCGUGCGGGAUGACGGCCUUCGAGUUGUAUUCCGCUUACGCCUGUGACGAAGCGUGAGUGACGGUAGUGGGUAAAGAAGCACCGGCUAACUACGUG